AGUGAACGCUGGCGGUAGGCCUAACACAUGCAAGUCGAACGGCAGCACAGUAAGAGCUUGCUCUUACGGGUGGCGAGUGGCGGACGGGUGAGGAAUACAUCGGAAUCUACUUUUUCGUGGGGGAUAACGUAGGGAAACUUACGCUAAUACCGCAUACGACCUACGGGAGAAAGCAGGGGAUCUUCGGACCUUGCGCGAUUGAAUGAGCCGAUGUCGGAUUAGCUAGUUGGCGGGGUAAAGGCCCACCAAGGCGACGAUCCGUAGCUGGUCUGAGAGGAUGAUCAGCCACACUGGAACGGAGACACGGUCCAGACUCCUACGGGAGGCAGCAGUGGGGAAUAUUGGACAAUGGGCGCAAGCCUGAUCCAGCCAUACCGCGUGGGUGAAGAAGGCCUUCGGGUUGUAAAGCCCUUUUGUUGGGAAAGAAAAGCAGCAGGUUAAUACCCCGCUGUUCUGACGGUACCCAAAGAAUAAGCACCGGCUAACUUCGUG
This 492-nucleotide ribosomal RNA is filed under the name uncultured bacterium. Its description in RNAcentral is "partial 16S ribosomal RNA". It matches the Rfam family "Bacterial small subunit ribosomal RNA", at positions 29 to 507 of the family's 1533-position model. The record is from RNAcentral.